Molecule: long non-coding RNA, 297 nt
Filed under: Sorghum bicolor (sorghum)
Lineage: Eukaryota; Viridiplantae; Streptophyta; Magnoliopsida; Poales; Poaceae
Description: long non-coding RNA (SBIC_LNC012164)
Source: RNAcentral
AAUACUAAAUUAAUAACCAAGUAAGUCUAAAACCUAAUGUAAGAGAUGCAUUAAUUAUAUAUGUUUACAUUUACAUACCUCGCCAGUAUUUUCUUCUUGUUGCACGACAAGUUGUUGCUCAGGGGCAUUGCCCUCUUGUUGCUAAGUAGGAUUGCCUUGCAUGAUCUCGUAGUAAUCAAUAAAGUACUGACUACCGUCGUCGAUUAUAUUUUGAAUGGCAUCUUCCAUAUAAUCAGGAUCAUCAUGAGCACGGUCAGCCAUUUCUAUGUCUGCAACCAUACAUAUAUAUAUUGCAUA